GACCGGCGCACGGGUGCGUAACACGUAUGCAACCUACCCAUAAGCGGGGAAUAACCCGGAGAAAUUCGGACUAAUACCGCAUGGUACGCAAGAGAGGCAUCUUUCUUGUUUUAAAGAUUUAUCACUUAUGGAUGGGCAUGCGCAUGAUUAGAUAGUAGGCGGGGUAACGGCCCACCUAGUCAACGAUCAUUAGGGGUUCUGAGAGGAAGGUCCCCCACACUGGUACUGAGACACGGACCAGACUCCUACGGGAGGCAGCAGUGAGGAAUAUUGGUCAAUGGGCGAGAGCCUGAACCAGCCAAGUCGCGUGAAGGAAGAAGGAUCUAUGGUUCGUAAACUUCUUUUAUAUGGGAAUAAAGUGUAGGACGAGUCCUAUUUUGUAAGUACCAUAUGAAUAAGCAUCGGCUAACUCCGUGCCAGCAGCCGCGGUAAUACGGAGGAUGCGAGCGUUAUCCGGAUUUAUUGGGUUUAAAGGGUGCGUAGGCGGACUUUUAAGUCAGUGGUAAAAUCUUGCAGCUCAACUGUAAGUAGCCAUCGAAACUGGAGGUCUUGAGUGUAAAUGAGGUAGGCGGAAUGUGUUGUGUAGCGGUGAAAUGCUUAGAUAUGACACAGAACACCAAUUGCGAAGGCAGCUUACUAAGAUACAACUGACGCUGUGGCACGAAAGCGUGGGGAUCGAACAGGAUUAGAU
Molecule: ribosomal RNA, 691 nt
Filed under: uncultured bacterium
Lineage: Bacteria
Description: bacterial SSU rRNA
Rfam family: Bacterial small subunit ribosomal RNA
Source: RNAcentral